AACGAACGCUGGCGGCGUGCCUAACACAUGCAAGUCGUGCGAGAAAGUUUCCUUCGGGGAGCGAGUAAAGCGGCGCACGGGUGAGUAACACGUAGGUAACCUACCUUUCAGUCCGGAAUAACCAGCUGAAAAGCUGGCUAAUGCCGGGUAAGACCACGAUCUCUGCGGGGAUCGCGGCCAAAGGCGGCCUCUUCAUGAAAGCUGAUGCUGAGAGAUGGGCCUGCGUACCAUUAGCUAGUUGGUGAGGUAUCGGCUCACCAAGGCUUUGUAUGGUUAGCUGGUCUGAGAGGAUGACCAGCCACACUGGGACUGAGACACGGCCCAGACUCCUACGGGAGGCAGCAGU
Molecule: ribosomal RNA, 346 nt
Filed under: uncultured bacterium
Lineage: Bacteria
Description: bacterial SSU rRNA
Rfam family: Bacterial small subunit ribosomal RNA
Source: RNAcentral